Molecule: non-coding RNA, 806 nt
Organism: Pelobates cultripes (western spadefoot toad)
Lineage: Eukaryota; Metazoa; Chordata; Amphibia; Anura; Pelobatidae
Source: the annotation of a GenBank genome assembly
CCUCAGAUAGCUGUUCGAGAUCCUUCCUGGGUCAUGGCUGCCUAAAAUGCAUCCAAACAUUCAGUGUCUCCUCCCUCUGCAUGCAGACACUGAACUUUCCUCAUAGAGAUUCACUGAUUCAAUUAAUCUCUAUGAGGAGAUGCUGAUUGGCUAGGGCUGUGUUUGAAUCAUACUGGCUCUGCCCCUGAUCUGCCGUUUUGUCAGUCUCAGCCAAUCCUAUGGAGAAGCAUUGUGAUUGGAUCAGACCACCACUUCUGAUGAUGUCAGCAGACAGCUUGUUUUUUCUGAGACAAACAGCAUGCAGAGCUACAGCUUCAGGCUUGAAUACAAGUACGAUAUUGCUAUACUUAUGGAGACAUGAAGGGCCCAGGGGGGCUAGAUGGUGGUUUUAACACUAUAGGAUCAGGAAUACAUGUUUGUGUUCCUGACCCUAUAGUGUUUCUUUAACUUCUGUACAGCUUGUUUUUGUUUUGAUUAUCCUACAUGGACAUGUCCCUGUACUUGGGUAUUGCACCUAGAUCAGAUUUGUCCAUUGGCACCCAUCUCUUCCCUAGUUGUGUUCCCUCUUUACCACUUCCCACUUCUAUCUCCCUCUCUAUUUGUGCCUAUCUCUGCUUUUUUGUCUCCCACACAUCUCCUCUCCUAGUUUACCUAUCUCCCCCACUUAUAUCCUUCACGUACUUCUGUUUUCUCCAUAUCCCCAUGUGUUUCUCGCUCCACCUGUUUUAUAUCUCUCCAUUUCCCUUCUAACUUCAAGUGUAUAUUUCCAUCCUAAACACCUUUGCAUAGGUCCACACCCAACCUAC